This 291-nucleotide long non-coding RNA is filed under the name Brassica rapa (field mustard). RNAcentral's name for it is "long non-coding RNA (BRAP_LNC003718)". The record is from RNAcentral. Lineage: Eukaryota; Viridiplantae; Streptophyta; Magnoliopsida; Brassicales; Brassicaceae.
AUAUUAUUGUUCUGUCGAUAAAAAAAUAUUUAGAUAUGUAUUAUUUCUUGAUGUGUUUAAAACAAUUAUGUACCUUGGAAAAGUUUAGGAAUUAUGCUUGUGAUGAUGACAACUUUAAAUUUCCUAUUCUUCUUGCUUUGUAGGAUGCUAAAAUCUGCUGCUUACUUGUCGCACAGUAGUAUGAGUUUAACCAUUGUCGACCUGCGAUUGAAGUUUAUGUAUGAAGAGAAUUAUGAUUUCAUUUUUAGCUAUUGUGUUAGACUUACCUGUUCAGCCGUAGACCAAUCGUGG